RNAcentral lists this unclassified non-coding RNA (258 nucleotides) under Bombus terrestris (buff-tailed bumblebee). RNAcentral's name for it is "misc RNA ENSBTSG00005033761.1". Lineage: Eukaryota; Metazoa; Arthropoda; Insecta; Hymenoptera; Apidae. The record is from RNAcentral.
CGAAGAGCGAAGUAAAUUGCUUCUAAUGCGCCACUUGCCAUAUGCCCCGAGCAAGCCCGUUCUCUCUGCGCCACGAGAGACUCGAUCUGCGAGCUGAAUCUUCCACGAGGCCAGUUCUUCCAGUUCUCCGACUAGACGGGCCAACUCCUCUUUCCUGUGUUGCGCGAACCCCUUCUCGCGUCUGCAACGACGGCAUCACGUGGCUCACAGUUCGCGACCAUUUCUCCCGCGAUUCUUAACCAAUAAACGACCGUCGGG